RNAcentral lists this non-coding RNA (106 nucleotides) under Anaerocolumna xylanovorans DSM 12503. Its description in RNAcentral is "GEMM cis-regulatory element". It matches the Rfam family "c-di-GMP-I riboswitch aptamer", at positions 1 to 70 of the family's 87-position model. From Rfam's summary of the family: GEMM was predicted in a large-scale screen for bacterial structured RNA regulatory elements. Genes associated with GEMM are involved in a diverse array of functions, including chemotaxis regulation, signal transduction, secretion and chitin. The record is from RNAcentral. Lineage: Bacteria; Bacillati; Bacillota; Clostridia; Lachnospirales; Lachnospiraceae.
AACUGAAAAAGGCAAACUUACUGAAAGGUAAGGACGCAAAGCCACGAGUCUAAGGUAUAGUGUGAAAAAUAAAAAGCAUUUUUUACUUUCUAUUUGGGCAGUAUCG